GUGGGUAUACCUCAGAGGUAAAGCGUGUGCUUAGCAUGCAUGAGGUCCUGGGUUCGAUCCCCAGUAUCUCCA
Molecule: transfer RNA, 72 nt
Filed under: Camelus bactrianus (Bactrian camel)
Lineage: Eukaryota; Metazoa; Chordata; Mammalia; Artiodactyla; Camelidae
Also listed under: 2 other names
Rfam family: tRNA
About the family: Transfer RNA (tRNA) molecules are approximately 80 nucleotides in length. Their secondary structure includes four short double-helical elements and three loops (D, anti-codon, and T loops).
Source: Rfam by way of RNAcentral